CACCGAUCACCACUGCUACACGAAGAUGAAGCUAGCUCCCCACGAACACUUCAACGUGUUAGCAGCUAAAUGCAUGGCUAUUAAAGGCAACUUGGACUGUUGCAAUUUCCAACUUCAACCUCUUCACGUCUCUGCAAUCAUAAGAGUUACGCCAAUAAGAAGAAUAAUCUUUAAUUCUUUCUUGUUUUUUAUUUUAUUUUCUUUCUUCAAGUUGGGAGAAAAUCCAUCCAUUUGUAAGGCAUCUCAGCUUGAAUGACAAUGAUAGCUUAAUGUCAGUGGUUGAAACCACGGUCAGUAUGUUACUAGGCUAAAAGGGU
This 317-nucleotide long non-coding RNA is filed under the name Vitis vinifera (wine grape). RNAcentral's name for it is "long non-coding RNA (VVIN_LNC006602)". The record is from RNAcentral. Lineage: Eukaryota; Viridiplantae; Streptophyta; Magnoliopsida; Vitales; Vitaceae.